This 197-nucleotide unclassified non-coding RNA is filed under the name soil metagenome. Its description in RNAcentral is "partial contains 5.8S ribosomal RNA, internal transcribed spacer 2, and large subunit ribosomal RNA". The record is from RNAcentral.
AACGGUCUAUACCUGCGGUACCUGCGGAGGGAUCAUUAAAAAAGGGUCUUUUGACCAAUUUUUUUAAAAACUCACUACCAAUUCUAGCCUAUCGAGUUAGAUGGAAGUGGGUUUUUUUCAAACACCAAAAUUUUAACCUAUUCGUCUUUUGAUGAAACCCAAAAUUAAUAAAAUAAAACUUUUAACAACGGAUCUCU